This 235-nucleotide ribosomal RNA is filed under the name uncultured bacterium. RNAcentral's name for it is "partial 16S ribosomal RNA". It matches the Rfam family "Bacterial small subunit ribosomal RNA", at positions 96 to 334 of the family's 1533-position model. The record is from RNAcentral.
UGGCGGACGGGUGAGUAAUGUCUGGGAAACUGCCUGAUGGAGGGGGGUAACUACUGGAAACGGUAGCUAAUACCGCAUAACGUCGCAAGACCAAAGAGGGGGACCUUCGGGCCUCUUGCCAUCGGAUGUGCCCAGAUGGGAUUAGCUAGUAGGUGGGGUAAAGGCUCACCUAGGCGACGAUCCCUAACUGGUCUGAGAGGAUGACCAGCCACACUGGAACUGAGACACGGUCCAG